Molecule: ribosomal RNA, 479 nt
Filed under: uncultured bacterium
Lineage: Bacteria
Description: bacterial SSU rRNA
Rfam family: Bacterial small subunit ribosomal RNA
Source: RNAcentral
GAUCCGUGGCUCAGGACGAACGCUGGCGGCGUGCUUAACACAUGCAAGUCGAACGAGGUCCAGGAGAGCUUGCUCUCUGAAGACCUAGUGGCGAACGGGUGAGUAACACGUGAGAAACCUGCCUCGGAUGGGGAAUAACUCGGGGAAACUCGAGCUAAUACCGCAUACCUUCACAUGGUCGCAUGGCCGAGUGAAGAAAGAAUUUCGCUCUGAGAGGGUCUCGCGGCCUAUCAGCUUGUUGUGGGGUAACGGCCCACCAAGGCAACGACGGGUAGCUGGUUUGAGAGAACGAUCAGCCACACUGGGACUGAGACACGGCCCAGACUCCUACGGGAGGCAGCAGUGGGGAAUCUUGCGCAAUGGGCGAAAGCCUGACGCAGCAACGCCGCGUGCGGGGUGAAGGCCUUCGUGGUUGUAAACCGCUUUCAGCAGGGACGAAAAUGACGGUACCUGCAGAAGAAGCUCCGGCUAACUACGUG